GUGCAUGCAAGCUACUGACCCGAGGAGAAGAAGACGGCGUAGGGGUUUGGCCAGUGCUGCUCCAUCUUGUAGGGCAACACACCCGGAACACUCCAGAAGUGCAGGCACACAGGCUUAGCCCACGGAGCCACAUCCUGCCCCCCGAACGUGGAAAUGUGGAACAGAGAAGCCCUGUCGGAGCACUGCGUGUUCCUCCAGCCUGCUGACUCAUGAUGUGCUAAGCUUGGUUAACCAAGAUACUCGUCAUACUGGUUUAGCUGAAACAACUCAUGGGAUCACUGGCCACAGCUGAAGCAGUACGCUAAGUCACAGAGUGGUGGACCGAUACCUGCUAAUGGACAUGGCCAAGAUGACAGGCUGCCACCCAGACCUCAGAACCUCACGGGUCUGGGGGCUGCGCCGGGCAAGGGCGACCCAAAUCGGGAUCAGAACCAGGAAGAACCCACAG
Brienomyrus brachyistius is the source of this 448-nucleotide long non-coding RNA. RefSeq lists it as uncharacterized. Lineage: Eukaryota; Metazoa; Chordata; Actinopteri; Osteoglossiformes; Mormyridae. The record is from RefSeq and is a predicted model, not a curated record. The transcript is spliced from 3 exons.